CCUACGGGUGGCUGCAGUGGGGGAUAUUGCACAAUGGGGGAAACCCUGAUGCAGCGACGCCGCGUGGGCGAAGAAGCGCCUCGGCGCGUAAAGCCCUGUUAGCAGGGAAGAAAAUUACGGUACGUGAAGCAGACGCCACGGCUAACUACGUGCCAGCAGGCGCGGGACUACGUAGGGGGCAAGCGUUUACCGGAUUUACGGGGUGUAAAGGGGGCGCAGAGGGUUAUGCGGGGCGGGAGGUAAAGCCCCGGGCCAAAACCCGGGACUGCGGUUGGAACUGCGUGGCUGGAGUGCGGGAGGGGCAGGCGGAAUGCCUGGUGUAGCGGUGAAAUGCGUAGAUAUCAGGAAGAACACCGAUGGCGAAGGCAGCCUACUGGACUGCGACUGACGUUGAGGCACGAAAGCGUGGGGAGCAAACAGGAUUAGAUACCCCAGUAGUC
This 440-nucleotide ribosomal RNA is filed under the name uncultured bacterium. RNAcentral's name for it is "partial 16S ribosomal RNA". It matches the Rfam family "Bacterial small subunit ribosomal RNA", at positions 338 to 795 of the family's 1533-position model. The record is from RNAcentral.